RNAcentral lists this ribosomal RNA (250 nucleotides) under uncultured bacterium. RNAcentral's name for it is "partial 16S ribosomal RNA". It matches the Rfam family "Bacterial small subunit ribosomal RNA", at positions 14 to 257 of the family's 1533-position model. The record is from RNAcentral.
GUAUCAUGGCUCAGAUUGAACGCUGGCGGCAGGCCUAACACAUGCAAGUCGAACGGUAACGAGGAAACAGCUUGCUGUUUCGCUGACGAGUGGCGGACGGGUGAGUAAUGUCUGGGGAAACUGCCUGAUGGAGGGGGAUAACCUACUGGAAACGGUAGCUAAUACCGCAUAACGUCGCAAGACCAAAGAGGGGGACCUUCGGGCCUCUUGCCAUCGGAUGUGCCCAGAUGGGAUUAGCUAGGUAGUGGGG